This 572-nucleotide long non-coding RNA is filed under the name Setaria italica (foxtail millet). Its description in RNAcentral is "long non-coding RNA (SITA_LNC007112)". The record is from RNAcentral. Lineage: Eukaryota; Viridiplantae; Streptophyta; Magnoliopsida; Poales; Poaceae.
UGUAAUCCAUGGACAUGGGGCAGCGGUUCAUCGCCAGAUAUCAUCGAUCACUGCGUGGGGAUGAGGGGCGACGGCGGCGGCUGGACGGACUGUGCGAGCCAGUCGGACUCCGGCAGCGGCGUCAUGGGCGGCAGCGAGAAGUGGCCGACGGUGGAGCUGCCGCUGCGGACUUCCUGCAUGGUGAGCAGCGCGGCGACGGUGUUGCGGAAGAUGCUCUGCUCGGCGGCGGCGAGCGCCUGGCGCUCCUCGAGGUCCCUGCUUGCGGCGGAGACGGCGGAGGGCGGGAAGACGGCCUCCAUCAUGGCCUCGCAGUCCCUGACGAGCUCGGAGAUGAGGUCGGUGGUGAAGAAGGGCUGCUGCAGCACCCCCGCGAUGACGGGGAGCCGGAGCACGCCGCCGGUGCGCUUGUCGAACUUCUUGAGGAUCUUGGCGAGCCCCGUGUAGUUGAUGCUGCUGUAGUUGAGGAGCAGCACCAUCUCGCCGUGGAAGUCGACGACCUCCCGCUGGAUGCGCGCCAUCUCGGCCUCCGCCGCCGGCGAAGGCUUGGCCUCGGCGGCGCGCUGGAUCCUCUC